GUGGCUAAAACCGGAUAGAGGAUUGAUACUGGAAUGUUCUUUCCUUGAAAGGCAACGCUGUAGGAUGAGUUGGCGGCUGAUUAGGUAGUUGGUAGUGUAAAGGACUACCAAGCCUACGAUCAGUACGGGCCUUGAGAGAGGUAGCCCGGAGAAGGGUACUGAGACACUGACCCUAGCCCUACGGGGUGCAGCAGGCGCGAAACCUUUACACUGUACGCAAGUGCGAUAAGGGAACUCCCAGUGCUCAUGCACAGCAUGGGCUUUUGCCAAGUGUAAACAGCUUGGCGAAUAAGUGGUGGGUAAGACGGGUGCCAGCCGCCGCGGUAACACCUGCGCCACGAGUGGUGAUCACAUUUAUUGGGCCUAAAGCGUUCGUAGCCGGGUAUGUAAGUCCUGAGUGAAAUCGUUACGCUCAACAAAACGACGUGCUUGGGAGACUGCAUGCCUAGGGACCGGGAGGCGUCAAGGGUAUUCUCGAGGGAGCGGUAAAAUGCUAUAAUCUCGAGAGGACCACCUGUGGCGAAGGCGUUUGACGAGAACGGGUUCGACGGUGAGGGACGAAAGCUAGGGGAGCAAACCGGAUUAGAUACCCGAGUAGUCCUAGCUGUAAACGCUGUGUACU
This 622-nucleotide ribosomal RNA is filed under the name uncultured archaeon. Its description in RNAcentral is "bacterial SSU rRNA". It matches the Rfam family "Archaeal small subunit ribosomal RNA", at positions 142 to 768 of the family's 1478-position model. The record is from RNAcentral.